ACCAUGAUUUCAAAAAUCAAAGUUAUAUACAAUAACAAAAUCAUUUAUGCAAUCUAUAUCUCGAUAUCUAUAUAUGUGUUCCCAUAUUGAAGUACAAACACACAUCAGAUUCAUCUAGAUCUUGAACAUUUGAUUCAUAUCCUAGAUCUGUCUUCAAAGAUGAAACUCUUUAUUCAAUUUAAUCCUCACUUCUCAAUAAUGAUAAUAAUAUAUGGUGGGUGUUUACAAUGAUUAUGGUGGUGGUUACGAUGGAUUUUUUAGAGCUUAAUGUGAUGUGUGUUUGUAAUUAGCCCUUACUUUUAGUGUUGAGGAAGGAGAAAGAUUAAAAGAAAAAAAGGAAAUAGAUUUGUGAUUGUAAUUUGGAGCAGACAAAGAGGCGACCAAAAACGAGGAAAAGGGUUAAGUCAUACGAUGAAGAUCCCCUAACUUUAGUGGUAUGAGUUUUGUAGUGAUUUAUACACAUUUAAAGCAUAUGAGUUAUAAAUUAA
Long non-coding RNA from Erigeron canadensis, 488 nucleotides. RefSeq lists it as uncharacterized. The transcript has 2 exons. Lineage: Eukaryota; Viridiplantae; Streptophyta; Magnoliopsida; Asterales; Asteraceae. The record is from RefSeq and is a predicted model, not a curated record.